UGUGCAAUUGAUCUGUUGUAUGGUAAUGUCUGCUUAGCUGUUUAGAGAACUGUCAAGCUUUUUUCCAUAGUAAAUCUGCCAUAUUGCAUUCCCAUUAGCAAU
Molecule: microRNA precursor, 102 nt
Filed under: Marmota monax (woodchuck)
Lineage: Eukaryota; Metazoa; Chordata; Mammalia; Rodentia; Sciuridae
Source: RNAcentral